This 402-nucleotide ribosomal RNA is filed under the name Triticum aestivum (bread wheat). RNAcentral describes it as "partial small subunit ribosomal RNA". The record is from RNAcentral. Lineage: Eukaryota; Viridiplantae; Streptophyta; Magnoliopsida; Poales; Poaceae.
AUGGCUCGUACUAAGCAGACUGCUCGUAAGUCCACUGGAGGAAAGGCUCCAAGGAAGCAGUUGGCUGCCCGUAAGUCUGCUCCCACCACUGGAGGAGUGAAGAAGCCUCACCGUUACCGCCCUGGAACUGUUGCUCUUCGUGAGAUCCGCAAGUACCAGAAGAGCACUGAGCUGCUCAUAAGGAAGCUUCCUUUCCAGAGGCUUGUUAGGGAGAUUGCCCAGGACUUCAAGACUGACCUCCGCUUCCAGAGCCAUGCGGUGCUGGCCCUUCAGGAGGCUGCAGAGGCCUACUUGGUGGGUCUCUUCGAGGACACCAACCUGUGCGCCAUCCAUGCCAAGCGCGUGACCAUCAUGCCCAAGGACAUUCAGCUGGCUAGGAGGAUCCGUGGCGAGAGGGCUUAA